This 485-nucleotide ribosomal RNA is filed under the name uncultured bacterium. Its description in RNAcentral is "bacterial SSU rRNA". It matches the Rfam family "Bacterial small subunit ribosomal RNA", at positions 30 to 507 of the family's 1533-position model. The record is from RNAcentral.
AUUGAACGCUGGCGGCAUGCUUUACACGUGCAAGUCGAACGGCAGCACGGGUGCUUGCUACCUGGUGGCGAGUGGCGGACGGGUGAGUAAUACAUCGGAACGUGUCCAGAAGGAGGGGAUAACGCAUCGAAAGAUGUGCUAAUACCGCAUAUGCUCUGAGGAGAAAGUAGGGGAUCGAAAGACCUUGCGCUUUUGGAGCGGCCGAUGUCUGAUUAGCUAGUUGGUGGGUAAGGGCCUACCAAGGCGACGAUCAGUAGUUGGUCUGAGAGGACGGCCAGCCACACUGGGACUGAGACACGGCCCAGACUCCUACGGGAGGCAGCAGUGGGGAAUUUUGGACAAUGGGCGCAAGCCUGAUCCAGCAAUGCCGCGUGAGUGAAGAAGGCCUUCGGGUUGUAAAGCUCUUUCAGUCGAGAAGAAAAGGCUGCAGUGAAUAACUGUAGUUUAUGACGGUAUCGACAGAAGAAGCACCGGCUAACUACGUG